RNAcentral lists this ribosomal RNA (447 nucleotides) under uncultured bacterium. RNAcentral describes it as "bacterial SSU rRNA". It matches the Rfam family "Bacterial small subunit ribosomal RNA", at positions 330 to 792 of the family's 1533-position model. The record is from RNAcentral.
UCCAGACUCCUACGGGAGGCAGCAGUGGGGAAUAUUGGGCAAUGGGCGCAAGCCUGACCCAGCAACGCCGCGUGAAGGAGGAAGGCUUUCGGGUUGUAAACUUCUUUUAACAGGGAAGAGCAGAAGACGGUACCUGUUGAAUAAGCCACGGCUAACUACGUGCCAGCAGCCGCGGUAAUACGUAGGUGGCAAGCGUUGUCCGGAUUUACUGGGUGUAAAGGGCGUGCAGCCGGGUUUAUAAGUCAGAUGUGAAAUCCCGCGGCUCAACCGCGGAACUGCAUUUGAAACUGUAGAUCUUGAGUACUGGAGAGGCAGGCGGAAUUCCUAGUGUAGCGGUGAAAUGCGUAGAUAUUAGGAGGAACACCAGUGGCGAAGGCGGCCUGCUGGACAGCAACUGACGGUGAGGCGCGAAAGCGUGGGGAGCAAACAGGAUUAGAUACCCGAGUA